AAGUUUUAGGACUGGGAAGGGUUUUAGGCUGGACUGGGAGUGGUUUUAGGCAGGAUUUGGGAGCUUUUAGAACUGGUGAAGUUUUUAGAGCUGGUGAAUCCUUUAGGCUGGACUGGGGGCUUUUAGGCCUGGGAGUGCUUUUAGGCAGGAUUUAGGAGCUUUUAGGACUGCUGAAGCUUUUAGGCUGGACUGGGGGGCUUUUAGGAUUGACUUUUAGGCCUGGGAGAGCUGUUAGGCAGGAUUUAGGAGCUUUUAGGAUUUCUGAAGCUUUUAGGCUGGACUUUUAGGCCUGGGGGUGGUUUUAGACAGGAUUUAGGAGUUUUUAGGAUUGCUGAAGCGUUUAGGCUGGACUUUUAGGCCUGGGGGUGGUUUUAAUGAUUUAGGAGCUUUUAGGAUUUCUGAAGCUUUUAGGCUGGACUGGGGGGCCUUUAGGCCGGACUGAGGGACUUUUUGGCCUGGGAGUGAUUUUAGGCAAGAUUUAGGAGGUUUUAGGAUUUCUGAAGCUUUUAGGCUGGACUUUUAGGCCUGGGGGUGGUUUUAGGCAGGAUUUGGGAGCUUUUAGGAUUGCUGAAGCUUUUAGGCUGGACUUUUAGGCUUGGGAGUGGUUUUAGGCAGGAUUUAGGAGCUUUUAGGAUUUCUGAAGCUUUUAGGCAGGACUGGGGGGCCUUUAGGCCGGACUGAGGGACUUCUAGGCCUGUGAGUGGCUCUUAGGCUGGACCAAGCAGUGGCCAAGCUCUUGCUGCCCUGCACAGGGAGGGAAAGCUCCUGGUCCUACUGAUUAGGACUGGGAUGGGCUUGGCUUUCCCCCCCUCUGGGCCGUACUGGGAGCACUGGGAUGGUUCCACCGUUCCCAAGCCUGUGGAUCUCGGCGACCCUCGGCAUUCCCUGGUUUCUCUUUCCCUGUUUUUCUGCUCGUUGAGUUCAUUAAACCUGGGGUUUUUUCCCUC
Molecule: long non-coding RNA, 947 nt
Organism: Pseudopipra pipra
Lineage: Eukaryota; Metazoa; Chordata; Aves; Passeriformes; Pipridae
Exons: 2
Source: RefSeq, a predicted model, not a curated record